This 22-nucleotide non-coding RNA is filed under the name Arabidopsis thaliana (thale cress). Lineage: Eukaryota; Viridiplantae; Streptophyta; Magnoliopsida; Brassicales; Brassicaceae. The record is from RNAcentral.
CAAACGGAUUUGUCUGCUCUAC